RNAcentral lists this unclassified non-coding RNA (145 nucleotides) under uncultured fungus. Its description in RNAcentral is "sequence contains ITS1". The record is from RNAcentral. Lineage: Eukaryota; Fungi.
ACAAAAAGGGAACAAAAGCGUGGCGGGCGCAAGUCCGUUUCACGUUAAUCCCGAAAUCCUGUAUUCACCCCAAGUUCCUUAAAAAUUUUAAUAAAAACUACGCAAAAGACCACCUCUGAUUCGGUGGCAUCUAAUGCAAAAGCGA